Long non-coding RNA from Tribolium castaneum (red flour beetle), 764 nucleotides. RefSeq lists it as uncharacterized. The record is from RefSeq and is a predicted model, not a curated record. The transcript is spliced from 2 exons. Lineage: Eukaryota; Metazoa; Arthropoda; Insecta; Coleoptera; Tenebrionidae.
UCCUGUCACCAUGGCCUCCUUGAUGUAUGGAGACAACUUCGUUGUUCAGGCCUGGCGCAUCGUUAAGUUCGGCUGAUUCUCCACUGGCGCUGCAUUUAGCGGACUGACGUUUAUUUGACAAAUACCAUUUUUGAGGUUAAAGACUAAUAAAUUUGAAAGAUGUAAGUGAAAUACGUUGAAAAUGUGAGGAUAAUUCUAAAGUUAUGCCCUGAAUGAACGUUUGGAUAGUGUAACUUUUGCAGGAAAUCAUUUUACGAUCAUUAGGAUUUUUUUUUCAGCUUCAGAAGAUAUACAAAUUAUUUUAAGGUGAAUUGAUUGUUCAUCGUUUAUAAGUAUUUUAAGCAUAACCUACGGCACUAGUACGCAGACACAAAUGCAGAGAAAACGAUGUUUUAAAGAACCUUCCAUUUAUUAUGCAUACUCUAUGGUUUUACCAAUGGUUAAGGUUGAAUGCGUUACAAAUCUGUGAUUUUUAAGACAUGGCUUAAGUUUUCUGAAAGUUUUUGUAAAAUGUGCAAAGAAAGUCGUUUUUUUCAAAUGAAAUGGUUUAAAAAAGCUCGAUCCAGCGUUCUUCUGCUGCGUUACUCUCUGCUGGAGUGUCUCUGAACCGUCCGUUCCAAAGUCCCUGUCUGGACCUCUCACCUCUGCUCACUCUCAAGCACCGCUCGUGGAUCACCAAACUCCCGAAAAAAAUCUACUACUUUAUUAAUUUUUUUGAGUUUUUGUAUUUAGAAAUUAUCAAUUACAUUGUGGGCUCUUUUUCA